Molecule: ribosomal RNA, 253 nt
Filed under: uncultured bacterium
Lineage: Bacteria
Description: partial 16S ribosomal RNA
Rfam family: Bacterial small subunit ribosomal RNA
Source: RNAcentral
UACGUAGGUGGCAAGCGUUGUCCGGAUUUAUUGGGCGUAAAGCGAGCGCAGGCGGUUUCUUAAGUCUGAUGUGAAAGCCCCCGGCUCAACCGGGGAGGGUCAUUGGAAACUGGGAGACUUGAGUGCAGAAGAGGAGAGUGGAAUUCCAUGUGUAGUGGUGAAAUGCGUAGAUAUAUGGAGGAACACCAGUGGCGAAGGCGGCUCUCUGGUCUGUAACUGACGCUGAGGCUCGAAAGCGUGGGGAGCGAACAGG